GGAAAAUAGGAACUUAAACAAUUACCUCCAGCCAUUGUUAUAGUGUUGUGAAUGCACAGUCUUUGAGUCUUCUAAGCUCUUACUCUCAACUAUAUAGAUGGUGUAUAUAUUUAUGAAUAAUGGAAUGAGAGCAAGCUUAGGGACCAAAGACUAUUAUAUAUGCUUGAUUCUACCAUCAUGAAUAAACAAGCCAUUACCACCCAAUUAAUUGUCAUUAAUCUUAUGACUAAUUAGCAAUCAAAACUUUCAUAACCUAUGGACCAUUAAAAGUGAGGUUUUAUUAACAAUAAUUUGUAAAGUAAAACCGAUAAAUUAUUACAUUCUCCCACUUGGUCCAUAUGAUCUAAUAAUUGGCCUAAAUAAGUCAACAAGUACAUUCCUUAAGAAACAAACAUGUGAAUCAUAGUGAUAGUUCCUCUAAAAGCGAGUAUUAUCAUUUAUGUAUUACGACAUAUUUAAUUACUCAAGUAUAUACUUAAUGUGGUAACAAUAAAACUUAAUGAAUAAACCAUAUGUUUAUUCUUGGUCCAAAAUGAAAUAUAUUUUCUCAAAACUAAAGUGCACAUGAAUAUGAGAAAAUAACAUAAUAUAUAAGAGUUAUAUUAAUAAACUGAAUGUAUACAAUCAUAAAGUGGAACCAAACUCAAAUAUAACUUAAUGAAUAAACUUAUAACAUUUAUGUUUAUUCAAGUUCCAAACUUAAACGAUAUUUCUCAAAAUCAAAUUUUGUACGUACACUUUAGAACUUAAAACAUGAGAAAAUAUCAUAUAUAGAGUUUCAUAAAACAAAAUUGUUCUUACAACGAAAACCAAAUAUAGGAACCGAGUCCCAUUUUUCUACACGAUCCUUAAAUUUUGACGGUGACAUGCCUUUAGUCAAAGGAUCAGCAAUCAUCAAUUCAGUACUAAUAUGAUCAAUAAUAAUUAUUUGAUCCUUAAUUCGCUCUCUUACGGCUAAAUACUUAAUGUCGAUAUACUUAAUUCGUCUUCUAAUUUUGUUAUUCUUAGCCAUAAAAUCGUAGCUGAAUUGUCACAAUGUAUCUUUAGUGGUCUAAAAUUGAGUUUACAAUUUUAAACCCAAAAUGAAACUCUUCAUUCAUACACCAUGUGAUGUAGUUUCAAACAAAAUACAAACUAACAAAAUACGAACUUAGCUUCCAUUGUGGAAGUUACGGUCAAGGUCUGCUUUGCAUUUUUUUUGCAAGAAACAACUUCACUGGCUAACAUGAAAAUGUAACCGGAUGCUGAUUUUCUUAAGUCAACGUAAUCUGCAAUCUCUAAAUUAGAGUAACCUUUGACCUCUAAAAUUUCAGUUAGCAUAUACAUAAACAUGUAGUCUUUGGUUCCUUGAAGGUACCUAGUUACUUUAUUUGCAGCUUUUCAGUGUUCCAUAUAUGGAUUACUCUAAUAUCUGUUUCACAUUCCGAUUGCAAAUGCAAUGUCAGGCCGUGUGCGAACCUGAGCAUACAUUAGGCUUCCACCAGUGGAAGCAUAUGGAAUAUUAAGUAUUUGUUCCCUCUCAAAAUUAUUCUUAGGGAAUUGGCUCAAAUUAAACUUAUCACCCUUCACAAUGGGAGCCAUACUCGGUGAACAAUCUUUCAUCCAAAAUCUCUCUAAAACUUUAUUGAUAUAUAGGUUUCUCGUGAUAGACCUAUAACUCCUUGAGAUCUAUCUCUAUGGAUCUUGAUGUCAAUGACAUAAGAUGCCUCACCCAUAUCCUUCAUAUCAAAAAUUUUAGAGAGAAAUUAUUUCACCUCAUGUAGAAAACUUUUAUCAUUGGUAGCAAGUAAAAUGUCAUCCACAUAUAAAAUAAGAAAACAAAUUUUACUCCCACUAACCUUCUGGUAUAUACAUUGAUCCAUGAGAUUUUCAACAAAUCCAAAUGAAGAAACUAUCCCAUGAAAUUUAAGAUACCAUUGACGGGAUGCUUGUUUCGAACCAUAUAUGAAUUUCUUAAGCUUGCAAACCAAGUGCUCACCAUCAUUAGAGAAGAAACCUUCAGAUUGUUUUAUAUAAACCUCCUCCUCUAAAUCACCACUAAGAAAUGCUGUUUUCACAUCAAUUUGGUGCAACUCAAGGUCAAAAUAUGUAACCAAUGCCAAGAUGACACGGAGAGAAUCCUUCUUAGAUACAGGAGAAAAAGUCUCUAUGUAAUCUAUUUUCUCCUUUUGAGUAAAUCCCUUAGCAACGAGUCUAACCUUGUAUCUCUCAAUGUUACCUAAUGAAUCCCUUUUGGUUUUAAAUACCCAUUUCCAACCAAUGGCCUUCAUCCCAUUAGGUAACUCUACAAGAUCCCAAACACCGUUGUUUUUCAUGGAAUUCAUCUCAUCUUUCAUGGCAUCAUACCACAAAUUUGACUCUUUGCAACUCAUGUCUUCUGAAAAGUUUUUAUGAUCAUUCUCAACUCCAAUGUUAUAGUCAGAUUCUUGUAGAUACACAAUGUAAUCACCAGAAAUAGCUGAUUUUCUUGUCCUAGUAGACCUUCUUAAUGUUGGAUCAACAUUUUCUUGUGGAUUAUGUUGUUCAACUAAUUGCUCAUCAUUUUCAUGAAUUUGAUGAUCAAUUUGAUCUAUUGGAAUAUCAANNNNNNNNNNNNNNNNNNNNNNNNNNNNNNNNNNNNNNNNNNNNNNNNNNNNNNNNNNNNNNNAUCAACAUCCAUUUGAACUUGAGGGAUAUUGUGAACAACAACUAAUCUAUCACUCGAAACUGAAGGUGGAACUCUAUAUGAUCAUGGACAGAAACUAUGUUCCUGAUUUAAUCACUCCCAUUAAUCAAGUGAUCUUCAAGAAACUUUUCAUUUCUUGACUCCACAAUCCUAGUUGUGUGAGAUGGACAAUAAAAUCUAUAACCUUUAGACCUUUCGGCAUAUCCAAUGAAAUACCCACUAAUGGUCCUCGGGUCUAGUUUCUUCUCUUGUGGUUUAUAAAUCCUAACCUCAGACGAACAUCCCUAAACGCGUGUUUGUCGCAAACUCGGUUUCCAACCUUUAAAUAAUUCAAAAGGUGUCCUUGGGACAACCUUGGAUGGAACCCGAUUGAGAAUAUACACACUCGUCUUUAGUGCUUCAUUCCACAAGGAUUUAGGAAGAUUGAAGUUGUUAACCAUACUCCGCACCACGUCCAAUAAAGUUUGGUUUCUUCUUUCUGCAACACCAUUUUGGUUCGCAGAACCGGGCAUGAUAUAUUGGGCAACAAUCCCAUGUUCUUGAAGAAACUUAGCAUAUGGACCAGGUGCUUGUCCAUCUUCAGUGUAUCUACCAUAGUAUUCACCACCCCGAUCAGAUCUCACAAUUUUUAUUUGCUUUCCAAAGGCUUUGAAGACAUCCAAUGCUUCAUUUUUAUUAUGAAGCAAAUAGAUGUUCAUAUAUCGUGAGUAAUCAUCUAUGAAGGUGAUAAAAUAUUUCUAACCAUGUGCAUCCAUACCUGGACAACAUAUGUAUGAAUUGUUUCUAAUAUGCUUGAACUUCUAUUGACACCCUUCUUGGAAACGUUGGUCUGCUUUCCUUUAAUGCAGUCAAUACAAGUUUCAAAGUCAGCAAAAUCUAGAGUAUUAGGUAACCCAUAUUUUAAUAGCCUUUUUUAAUUAUCUCUAUGGAGAUAUGUCCUAAUCUCCGAUGCCAUAACAUAGAAGAAUUCUAGUUAAUAUUACACCGCUUAAUGCCAAUUUGAACAUGCAUUGAACUAUAAAUGGAUUCAUUUUGUAAAUUAAUACGAUAAAGGCCAUCAGACAAUAUACCAUUCCCCACACGUUCCAAAUUAUAUAAUUCAAAUGAUGUGUCUUUAAAAUGAAAGGAAUAUCCAAAAGGCACAAGUCUAGAAACUGAAAUCAUGUUUUGUGAGAAACUUGGUGCAUAAAAGGUCCUUUCUAAUUUCAAAACAAAACCAUUAUUCAGAAUUAAAAUGCAAGUUCCAAUAACCUCCACAUGUGAGCCCAUCCUGCUUCCUGAUAGGAUAGUUCACUCACUUCAUACUAGCUUCCUUAAGUCUUGCAUACCUUGCAAGGAGUUUGCUAUAUGGAUUGUUGAUUCAGAAUCAAUCCACCAGUGUUUAUAUUAACAUUAGUCAUAUUAGAUUCAUAACUAACAAGAUAGAAUGAAUUACCUUUGAGCUCAGAAACUUUAUGUUUGAUAUCAGAAUAAACAAUAGAUUUAUAAGCUGAAAAAUUCCAAAGACUCAUAUCAAAAAUUUUGAGACAUAUAUAUUAUCUGUAAUGUAUGUAUUACCAAUGUAAACAUACCCCAAAAUAAAUCUUGUAACAUAAAAUUACCUGCGGGCUAAAUUUUAAUGUGAUGAGAUUUAUUUAAACUUUACGAUAGAAUUUUCAAAUCACAUACACAACAACAUACUUUACGUGCAUAAAAUAAUUUGUUUUUCUAUCCAAAAUUAUACUUUAUGAUAAAACUAUCAAAUUAUAUACCAAUUCAUAAUUCCUGCGGGUAAGUUAUGAAAAUAAUUUGACAUUCUAUCCUAAUUAAUCAUACAAACAUAGCAAAAAUUCCUGUAGGAUAAGAUUCACUAUAUCACAUGAUUAAUCACAAUGUUAUGUCUAAUUCCUUAUGUGACCUUAGAAACUUUAGAAAUAAUUUUAACUAAUUGUGGGUGCUGCGGCUAAACCAAAACUAAUUAAAAUUAUAAAGAUCACUAGAUAUAACAACUAAAUUAUAUGAGAAAAUAAAUUAUACAUAUCAAAAUAAGAUAUAACAAUGAAUAAAAUUUUCAUAUAUGAUUACAUAACUAAAAAUAAUAUUAUGUACCUGAUCAAACUUUUUCCAAAAUUGUAACGCAUAAUCAAUCAACUUAAUCAGAAAACAGAAUAUUCAGAGUACAAAUAUAUAAUAAGAUAACAGUAUUACAGAAGUUGUUAUCUAUCUCAGUGGUCAAGAAGGUAAACCUUUUACACAAAAGACCUGUGUCUGAAUCCCUGAAUCUAAAUUCUGCAUAAUUUUUUCAUCAAAAUUGCAUUGCAGCGAAUAUAUAUAUAUUAUUAACGAAGUAUUUUGAAUGUAAUGAACACAUAGCUAAAGUGGUCACAACAUGGCACUAUAGUACUAGACUACCAGGGACGCGGGUUUAAGUCCCAGGUUCCCCAAUUGACAUUUUUUUUUUUUAAAUACUACUGUUCAUCUUCAACCUUGAGCGGGUCAGUUCGACCCGAUUUUAUGGCCAACGAAUCCGAAUUGAAACCCGACAAUUUCAGAUCAAUUAAAACAUGGAAAAUAACAAUCAUUAACCUAGAAAUACUAUACAAAAGAUUUCCAUUAUAAUUUUGAUUUUAAUCUUGACUAAAAAGGUUUAAAUCAAAAUACCCAAAACUUCAAAAAAAACUCAAACUUUAAAACAAUUCUUAAUAUUCUGGGCACUCUUUAGAUUGAUUCAAAUAACUGAAAGCUUAGAAACUCAAUGAAACGAAAAUUUCUCAUAAUAUUUUGCAAUAACAAUGCCUUAACUUAAAUUUAAAUGAAAUCUUCAAAUUUUACCGAAAAUGGAAAAACUGGAACAAUGAACAAGGCAGAGGCAGUAAAGCUCUGAUACCAAAUGUAAGAUAAAUUCAAUUGAUCCUAUGUUCCUGACAACAAAAGAACAACAAGAUCAAUAAACCAAAUGCGGAAAAUAGGAACUUAAACAAUUACCUUCAGCCAUUGUUAUAGUGUUGUGAAUGCACAGUUUUUGAGUCUUCUAAGCUCUUACUCUCAACUAUAUAGAUGGUGUAUAUAUUUCUGAAUAAUGGAAUGAGAGCAAGCUUAGGGACCAAAGACUAUUAUAUAUGCUUGAUUCUACCAUCAAGAAUAAACAAGCCAUUACCACCCAAUUAAUUGUCAUUAAUCUUAUGACUAAUUAGCAAUCAAAACUUCCAUAACCUAUGAACCAUUAAAAGUGAGGUUUUAUUAACAAUAAUUUGUAAAGUAAAAC
This 5909-nucleotide long non-coding RNA is filed under the name Trifolium pratense (red clover). RNAcentral's name for it is "long non-coding RNA (TPRA_LNC002109)". The record is from RNAcentral. Lineage: Eukaryota; Viridiplantae; Streptophyta; Magnoliopsida; Fabales; Fabaceae.